This 503-nucleotide ribosomal RNA is filed under the name uncultured bacterium. RNAcentral's name for it is "bacterial SSU rRNA". It matches the Rfam family "Bacterial small subunit ribosomal RNA", at positions 26 to 518 of the family's 1533-position model. The record is from RNAcentral.
GCUAGGAUGAACGCUAGCUACAGGCUUAACACAUGCAAGUCGAGGGGCAGCAUUGGAGUAGCAAUACUCAGAUGGCGACCGGCGCACGGGUGAGUAACACGUAUCCAACCUGCCGCUUACUCGGGGAUAGCCUUUCGAAAGAAAGAUUAAUACCCGAUGGUAUAAAGAGUUCGCAUGUUCUCUUUAUUAAAGAAUUUCGGUAAGCGAUGGGGAUGCGUUCCAUUAGAUAGUUGGCGGGGUAACGGCCCACCAAGUCUACGAUGGAUAGGGGUUCUGAGAGGAAGGUCCCCCACAUUGGAACUGAGACACGGUCCAAACUCCUACGGGAGGCAGCAGUGAGGAAUAUUGGUCAAUGGACGAGAGUCUGAACCAGCCAAAGUAGCGUGAAGGAUGACUGCCCUAUGGGUUGUAAACUUCUUUUAUAAGGGAAUAAAGUGAGGGACGUGUCCCUUUUUGUAUGUACCUUAUGAAUAAGGAUCGGCUAACUCCGUGCCAGCCGCCGC